CCUACGGGUGGCAGCAGUGGGGGAUAUUGCACAAUGGGGGAAACCCUGAUGCAGCAACGCCGCGUGAGUGACGAAGGUCUUCGGAUUGUAAAACUCUGUUCUUGGUGAAGAUAAUGACGGUAGCCAAGGAGAAAGCUCCGGAUAACUACGUGCCAGCAGCCGCGGUAAUACGUAGGGAGCGAGCGUUGUCCGGAAUUACUGGGUGUAAAGGGUGCGUAGGCGGCCUUGCAAGUCAGGCGUGAAAACCAUGGGCUCAACCCGUGGACUGCGGUGGAAACUGUGUGGCUUGAGUGAGGUAGAGGUAGGCGGAAGUCGCGGUGUAGCGGUGAAAGGCGUAGAGAUCGGGAGGAACACCAGUGGCGAAGGCGGCCUACUGCGCUUUAACUGACGCUGAGGCUCGAAGGCAUGGGUAGCAAACAGGAUUAGAUACCCUGGUAGUC
RNAcentral lists this ribosomal RNA (440 nucleotides) under uncultured bacterium. RNAcentral describes it as "partial 16S ribosomal RNA". It matches the Rfam family "Bacterial small subunit ribosomal RNA", at positions 338 to 795 of the family's 1533-position model. The record is from RNAcentral.